AACGAACGCUGGCGGCAUGCCUGACACAUGCAAGUCGAACGAGACCUUCGGGUCUAGUGGCGCACGGGUGCGUAACGCGUGGGAACCUGCCCUUAGGUUCGGAAUAACUCCCCGAAAGGGGUGCUAAUACCGGAUAAUGUCUUCGGACCAAAGAUUUAUCGCCUUUGGAUGGGCCCGCGUUGGAUUAGCUAGUUGGUAGGGUAAAAGCCUACCAAGGCGACGAUCCAUAGCUGGUCCGAGAGGAUGAUCAGCCACACUGGGACUGAGACACGGCCCAGACUCCUACGGGAGGCAGCAGUGGGGAAUAUUGGACAAUGGGCGAAAGCCUGAUCCAGCAAUGCCGCGUGAGUGAUGAAGGCCUUAGGGUUGUAAAGCUCUUUUACCCGGGAUGAUAAUGACAGUACCGGGAGAAUAAGCUCCGGCUAACUCCGUG
RNAcentral lists this ribosomal RNA (433 nucleotides) under uncultured bacterium. RNAcentral describes it as "partial 16S ribosomal RNA". It matches the Rfam family "Bacterial small subunit ribosomal RNA", at positions 29 to 507 of the family's 1533-position model. The record is from RNAcentral.